UACGAGAGGUCCGAGCGUUGCGCGGAAUCACUGGGGUUAAAGCGUACGUAGGCGGAAUGGACAGUGCUUUGUGAAAUCCCACAGCUCAACCGUGGAACUGCAGGGCAUACUACCAUUCUUGAGGUCGGUAGAGGUUGCCGGAACUGUAGGUGUAGCGGUGAAAUGCGUAGAUAUCUACAGGAACACCAAAGGCGAAGGCAGGCAACUGGGCCGAUUCUGACGCUCAGGUACGAAAGCGUGGGUAGCAAACAUG
This 253-nucleotide ribosomal RNA is filed under the name uncultured bacterium. RNAcentral's name for it is "partial 16S ribosomal RNA". It matches the Rfam family "Bacterial small subunit ribosomal RNA", at positions 524 to 776 of the family's 1533-position model. The record is from RNAcentral.